UGUGGAGGCCUAUAGAGAUCUGGAGUGUGAAGUUGUUUGGCAUCCAGGGUUCAGCUCUCCAGAAGCAGGAGAAUUCAACUUGUGUGUGCGUAAAGGAAACACAGUUAAAUUGAAAUGUUGUGCAAAGCUUGGUACUACCAAAGUUCAGUUUAUGGAACAAAGAAUACCCUUCAGUCAUAGUCCAGUAGGUUUAUCUACUUGUAAGACAGCCACUCUUCAAAACAUAGGAUACAAUCAUGCAUACUUCCAAGUUCUUGAUUCAAACCCACUUCCUGAAAUGAUGAUCACCCCUUCUGAAGGGGUGGUACCUGUGGGAG
Molecule: long non-coding RNA, 317 nt
Filed under: Athene cunicularia (burrowing owl)
Lineage: Eukaryota; Metazoa; Chordata; Aves; Strigiformes; Strigidae
Description: lncRNA (ENSACUG00000007185.1)
Source: RNAcentral